RNAcentral lists this ribosomal RNA (468 nucleotides) under uncultured bacterium. Its description in RNAcentral is "partial 16S ribosomal RNA". It matches the Rfam family "Bacterial small subunit ribosomal RNA", at positions 28 to 507 of the family's 1533-position model. The record is from RNAcentral.
GACGAACGCUGGCGGCGUGCUUAACACAUGCAAGUCGAACGGAAAGGCCCUGCUUUUGUGGGGUGCUCGAGUGGCGAACGGGUGAGUAACACGUGAGUAACCUGCCCUUGACUUUGGGAUAACUUCAGGAAACUGGGGCUAAUACCGGAUAGGAGCUCCUGCUGCAUGGUGGGGGUUGGAAAGUUUCGGCGGUUGGGGAUGGACUCGCGGCUUAUCAGCUUGGUGGUGGGGUAGUGGCUUACCAAGGCUUUGACGGGUAGCCGGCCUGAGAGGGUGACCGGCCCCAUUGGGCCUGAGAUACGGCCCAGACUCCUACGGGAGGCAGCAGUGGGGAAUAUUGCACAAUGGGCGGAAGCCUGAUGCAGCCACGCCGCGUGCGGGAUGACGGCCUUCGGGUUGUAAACCGCUUUCGCCUGUGACGAAGCGUGAGUGACGGUAAUGGGUAAAGAAGCACCGGCUAACUACGUG